CUACGGGCCGCAGCAGUGGGGAAUUUUGGACAAUGGGCGAAAGCCUGAUCCAGCAAUACCGCGUGCAGGAAGAAGGCCCUCGGGUUGUAAACUGCUUUUGUACGGAACGAAACGGCGCGCUCUAAUAAAGUGCGCUAAUGACGGUACCGUAAGAAUAAGCACCGGCUAACUACGUGCCAGCAGCCGCGGUAAUACGUAGGGUGCGAGCGUUAAUCGGGAUUACUGGGCGUAAAGCGUGCGCAGGCGGUUUUGUAAGACAGGCGUGAAAUCCCCGGGCUCAACCUGGGAAUUGCGCUUGUGACUGCAAGGCUAGAGUACGGUAGAGGGGGGUAGAAUUCCGCGUGUAGCAGUGAAAUGCGUAGAUAUGCGGAGGAACACCGAUGGCGAAGGCAGCCCCCUGGACCUGUACUGACGCUCAUGCACGAAAGCGUGGGGAGCAAACAGGAUUAGAUACCCCGGUAGUC
This 464-nucleotide ribosomal RNA is filed under the name uncultured bacterium. RNAcentral's name for it is "partial 16S ribosomal RNA". It matches the Rfam family "Bacterial small subunit ribosomal RNA", at positions 339 to 795 of the family's 1533-position model. The record is from RNAcentral.